Saccostrea cuccullata (small rock oyster) is the source of this 388-nucleotide long non-coding RNA. RefSeq lists it as uncharacterized. The transcript has 3 exons. The record is from RefSeq and is a predicted model, not a curated record. NCBI's taxonomy places the organism in Eukaryota, Metazoa, Mollusca, Bivalvia, Ostreida, Ostreidae.
GUAUUAUUAUGUUUCCGUUUUUUUUUUUCUUACAUAUAGUGCAUCAUCAAUCUGUGAACUUUAAAACGUUCAAAAAGUAAACAAGAAACAGGAAAAUGUGAAUGUCAGAACGACUUUAAUUAUAAAUGAUUAUGGCUCAAAUAUUUGCUGUCAUUUUCCUUUUGUCACAACUACAAGUAAGUUUCUCCCAAAGUCUGGACACAAGAAACGGCGAUGAUAAAUGUGUACCGGGUGGAUUGGAAGAUUCCCUGCUGUCAUUAAAAAUGUAUUUAGACUCCCAACUACAAGAGUUGGAGCAAAAAGUAAAAAAAGAAAACACACAGAGAUUCCAAAAUCUUCAAAUACAGAUAAGCAACUUAAAAGGUUUAUAAUUCAAAUUACAGAGUAU